Ameiurus melas (black bullhead) is the source of this 66-nucleotide non-coding RNA. The record is from the annotation of a GenBank genome assembly. NCBI's taxonomy places the organism in Eukaryota, Metazoa, Chordata, Actinopteri, Siluriformes, Ictaluridae.
GGCACAGUGGCUUAGUGGUUAGCACGUUCGCCUCACAGGUCUGGGGUUCGAUUCCCGCCGGGGCCA